CUAUCCGCUGCAAAAUAAUCACAUCAUUCCCCAAAUCAAUAGUCACAAGGAAAAGAAAACCAUUAAGUCGAAGGCAAAAGAACCUUUGAUUCACGAAAAUCAUGACUCUCAUAUCACCAAAGAUAUUUAGAAUUAUCUGAAGAAAGAAUAUGCUAGAGAUGAAAGAAUACGAGGCAUGAAAGUAUUAAAUUUAAUGAGGGAAUUUGGAUUACAGAAAAUGAAAGAGCCAGAAACAAUCAAGGAAUACUCUGAGAGGAUUGCUUGAUAUUGUCAACAAGGCAUAGGAAUAAAGGAGGCUUAUGAGGAAAGAUGACAUGGUUAAAGGACUAUUAAUAGCUAGCCACAAAACUCAAAGAAAGGGUAUGUUUUUGAAAAUUACCCACCUUGUACGCACUGUGGAAAAAAUGGACAUCCUCCUUAUAAAUGUUGGAAAAGACCAUAUGCAUAGUUAAAGAUCUGCAAACAACUUGUUCAUUAAGCUCUGAUUUGCAACAGGAAAUUUAAAAAUGAUAAAACUGUUAGAUAUUUUAAUUAAUUAAGUUCAUUCUUUCCUAGUUUUAAGGGUAUAUGAUUGCUAUUUCCAUGUUACUGGAAACGUGUGACUUAGUAGGUCAAUUUUAAUUUAUUUUAUGGCUUACUGGUUGAGAUAAUGUAUGGUGUGUAUUGCCUUUAAGGUUGUUGUUUUUUUCAAUUUAAUGAGAACUGCACUACCUCCCAAA
Solanum pennellii is the source of this 719-nucleotide long non-coding RNA. RefSeq lists it as uncharacterized. Lineage: Eukaryota; Viridiplantae; Streptophyta; Magnoliopsida; Solanales; Solanaceae. The record is from RefSeq and is a predicted model, not a curated record. The transcript is spliced from 2 exons.